GACGAACGCUGGCGGCGUGCUUAACACAUGCAAGUCGAACGGAAAGGCCCUGCUUUUGUGGGGUGCUCGAGUGGCGAACGGGUGAGUAACACGUGAGUAACCUGCCCUUGACUUUGGGAUAACUUCAGGAAACUGGGGCUAAUACCGGAUAGGAGCUCCUGCUGCAUGGUGGGGGUUGGAAAGUUUCGGCGGUUGGGGAUGGACGCGCGGCUUAUCAGCUUGUUGGUGGGGUAGUGGCUUACCAAGGCUUUGACGGGUAGCCGGCCUGAGAGGGUGACCGGCCACAUUGGGACUGAGAUACGGCCCAGACUCCUACGGGAGGCAGCAGUGGGGAAUAUUGCACAAUGGGCGGAAGCCUGAUGCAGCAACGCCGCGUGCGGGAUGACGGCCUGCGGGUUGUAAACCGCUUUCGCCUGUGACGAAGCGGGAGUGACGGUAAUGGGUAAAGAAGCACCGGCUAACCACGUG
RNAcentral lists this ribosomal RNA (468 nucleotides) under uncultured bacterium. RNAcentral describes it as "partial 16S ribosomal RNA". It matches the Rfam family "Bacterial small subunit ribosomal RNA", at positions 28 to 507 of the family's 1533-position model. The record is from RNAcentral.